This 253-nucleotide ribosomal RNA is filed under the name uncultured bacterium. RNAcentral describes it as "partial 16S ribosomal RNA". It matches the Rfam family "Bacterial small subunit ribosomal RNA", at positions 524 to 776 of the family's 1533-position model. The record is from RNAcentral.
UACGUAGGUGGCAAGCGUUGUCCGGAUUUACUGGGCGUAAAGAGCGCGCAGGCGGUCGUGCAAGUCGCGUGUGAAAGCCCCCGGCUCAACUGGGGAGGGUCACGCGAUACUGUUCGACUCGAAGGCAUGAGAGGGAAGCGGAAUUCCCGGUGUAGUGGUGAAAUGCGUAGAUAUCGGGAGGAACACCAGUGGCGAAGGCGGCUUCCUGGCCUGUUCUUGACGCUGAGGCGCGAAAGCUAGGGUAGCAAACGGG